Molecule: ribosomal RNA, 329 nt
Filed under: uncultured eukaryote
Lineage: Eukaryota
Description: partial 18S ribosomal RNA
Rfam family: Eukaryotic small subunit ribosomal RNA
Source: RNAcentral
CCCUUAGAUGUUCUGGGCUGCACGCGCGCUACACUGGUGCACUCAACAAGUUUACAACCUUGAUCGAUAGGUCUGGGUAAUCUUUUGAAUAUGCACCGUGCUAGGGAUAGAUUAUUGCAAUUAUUAAUCUUGAACGAGGAAUUCCUAGUAAAUGCAAGUCAUCAGCUUGCGUUGAUUACGUCCCUGCCCUUUGUACACACCGCCCGUCGCACCUACCGAUUGAAUGGUCCGGUGAAAUCUUCGGAUCUGAGAGAUGUCUGAUUAAUUUCGGACGCCUUUUGGAAAAGUUGCUUAAACCUUACCAUUUAGAGGAAGGUGAAGUCGUAACA